Molecule: transfer RNA, 77 nt
Filed under: Ixodes scapularis (black-legged tick)
Lineage: Eukaryota; Metazoa; Arthropoda; Arachnida; Ixodida; Ixodidae
Description: tRNA-Leu for anticodon CAG
Source: RNAcentral
GCCGGGAUGGUCUAAUCGGUUAAGGCGUCUCCCCCAGAUAUAGGUGGAGAUUGGGGGUUCGAUCCCCGCCCCUGGCC